Long non-coding RNA from Panicum virgatum (switchgrass), 587 nucleotides. RefSeq lists it as uncharacterized. The transcript is spliced from 2 exons. NCBI's taxonomy places the organism in Eukaryota, Viridiplantae, Streptophyta, Magnoliopsida, Poales, Poaceae. The record is from RefSeq and is a predicted model, not a curated record.
AUUUUUUUUAGUCUUCAACAAAAAUAAAGGCGAGAUGGUGAAAGUGUUGGACCACGUGCAGCAUGGAGGACGCUGGACGCGUCAUGAACAACAGAUGAACUCUCUCCAUGAUCAGGUUCUAAUUCUCAGGGUCUUUGUGCAUUCGUGCAAGAAGAAGAGUGAGUUUAGUUCUGAUGGCUGAAUUGGCGGCUAUGACGCGGGCAGAAAGGGUGGCAAAUGCUCUUCAGCUACAAGCUGCUAUUUUUCACACAGAUUGCAAGGAGGCUGUUUUGCAAUUGCAAAAGGGGAGGAGGUUUCUUUUCUGGAGGUUGAGGCCACUUCUCUCUCACUUUUCAAGCCUUCUAGACUGCUGUUCUUUUGAGGUGGUUAAAAUUUGUAGACAAGAGAACUAGUUUGCACAUUGCCUUGCUAUGCAGGCAAGAGCCGUUCUUAAUCACGGUUCUAUAGUAUUCUCUUGUACUUCUCACCACCGUCUAUCUCUUUGCGCUGUUCUUACAGCGCUUCAGAAUGUAACAUGGGAUCAGUUUGAUCUCAUUUAUGUCACAAUGUUCCUAACAAAUAAAGUGAGUUGUUAUUAACAAAAAAAA